This 253-nucleotide ribosomal RNA is filed under the name uncultured bacterium. RNAcentral describes it as "partial 16S ribosomal RNA". It matches the Rfam family "Bacterial small subunit ribosomal RNA", at positions 524 to 776 of the family's 1533-position model. The record is from RNAcentral.
UACGGAGGGUGCAAGCGUUAUCCGGAUUCACUGGGUUUAAAGGGUGCGUAGGAGGGCAGGUAAGUCAGUGGUGAAAUCCCCGAGCUUAACUCGGGAACUGCCGUUGAUACUAUCUGUCUUGAAUACCGUGGAGAUGAGCGGAAUAUGUCAUGUAGCGGUGAAAUGCUUAGAUAUGACAUAGAACACCAAUUGCGAAGGCAGCUCGUUACACGAAUAUUGACUCUGAGGCACGAAAGCGUGGGGAUCAAACAGG